Non-coding RNA from Salmo salar (Atlantic salmon), 71 nucleotides. Lineage: Eukaryota; Metazoa; Chordata; Actinopteri; Salmoniformes; Salmonidae. The record is from Rfam.
CGGCAGGUAGCCUAGUGGUUAGAGCAUUGGGCCAGUAACCCAAAGGUUGCUGGAUCAAAUCCCCAAGCUGA